UGGGGAAUAUUGGACAAUGGGCGCAAGCCUGAUCCAGCCAUGCCGCGUGAGUGAUGAAGGCCCUAGGGUUGUAAAGCUCUUUCACCCACGAGGAUACUGACGGUAGAGGGAGGAGAAGCCCCGGCUAACUUCGUGCCAGCAGCCGCGGUAAUACGAAGGGGGCUAGCGUUGUUCGGAAUCACUGGGCGUAAAGCGCACGUAGGCGGACUGAUCAGUCAGGGGUGAAAUCCCGGGGCUUAACCCCGGAACUGCCUUUGAUACUGUCAGUCUUGAGGCCGAGAGAGGUGAGUGGAACUCCGAGUGUAGAGGUGAAAUUCGUAGAUAUUCGGAAGAACACCAGUGGCGAAGGCGGCUCACUGGCUCGGUACUGACGCUGAGGUGCGAAAGCGUGGGGAGCAA
This 399-nucleotide ribosomal RNA is filed under the name uncultured bacterium. RNAcentral describes it as "bacterial SSU rRNA". It matches the Rfam family "Bacterial small subunit ribosomal RNA", at positions 355 to 771 of the family's 1533-position model. The record is from RNAcentral.